ACGAAAAUCCCCAGUUUCCACUGGGAAAAAGCAGCAAUCAGAUUUCUUCCAACUGCAGUGGGCAGCUGGGUGAAGGGAACUCGGCUGGUGCUCCUGCAGUAUGGUUCCAGCAGCACAGUCACAGAGGCAGCAACCUCCAGGGGAGAGGCAUCAUCUCCCACUGGCAGAGCUGGAUGCAUAAGGCAACAUCUGUACAGCUCUGAUUUCAUCUGCUUAGGGGAAACCCUUCCUAGGCAUGGGCAGGACCCCAGCAGCUUGCCAACAACGCACUUCAAAGCCGCACACCAGCUCUGGAUGAAACACCAGCACCGCAGCAUGCCGGGGACUUUCCUCUUCCAAGCCGGCUUGAUGGAUGGGCAGCAGUGGAGACAGAAAUCUUCCUGUUAUACUCACAGGGCAGGUACUGAAUCAGCAACCAUGGUGGCUACACAAGCUGCACCUCUCUGAACAAGCCUGAGACAAAAAAGAAGUGUUUCAGUGUAUCCCUCAGUCCCUAUAGCACUUUCCAGCUCCUACAGCCACCUCACCCCUUGCUGGUUAGCAGGCUUCACUCUUUCAAAGAAGAGGUUGAGCCUUCAUUGGUUCUUGAUGUAGAUGGCAAUGUGACUUGGCCAAGCUCUUGCCCCACCUGAUCCUCCAGGCCUUGCAUUUUCAGGGACAAUCUGCUCCUCACCCUUUGUGCUCUGCCAAGACCCUGGCACUUCCCACCCCUCCCACCUCAGGAGGAAGCAAGAACCACCUGUGUUUGCCUAAACUGCCACCUUGUAGGCAAAGGUCUGGUGGUCCUGGUGGCCAAGAAGGUAGCCAAGAGUCAGUGGCAUGGCCUUGCAGUGAAGAUGGCCAAACACACACUCAGUAGAAUUAACAAAAGUGAUGCCCAGAGGUCAAGGGGAGUGAUCUCUCUGCUCUAUUCAUCACUCCUGAGACCACAGAUGGAGCACUGUGUCUAACUUGGGGUCUCCAAGCAGACAUUGUCACUGUGGAGGCACACAGAGGGGAUGAGGGAGCUGGAGCACAUGAAGUGAGAAGAGAGGUUUGUUCAGCCCAGAGAUGAGGAUGUGAAGGGGGAAUGUCACUUUUUCAUCUAACUGCCUAAUGAUUAAUUAUAGAGAAGAAAGGAGUCAGACUCUUCUCAGCACACAAGAAGCCAUGGACAGAAGUUACAGCAAAGCAGGUUUAGAUCAGAUGCAAGAAGAACAUUUUCAGUAAGAGGCUGGUCAAGCCUUGAACCAUGAAGCCAGAGAGAUGUUGGGAUCUGUGUCCUUGGAGGUAUUCAAAACUCAACCACACAAAGGCACGAGCCUGUCCAAGAGCGGGAACUUGAAUCAGGAGUUUUCAAAGGUCCCUGCCACCAAAACCAUUCCCUGAAUCCAUGCUCUGGUUGUGCAGAUAUGGAGCCAAGGCACAGAGGAGAUGAAAUAAUACAACCACAGGUAUGCAGGGGACC
RNAcentral lists this long non-coding RNA (1447 nucleotides) under Manacus vitellinus (golden-collared manakin). RNAcentral describes it as "lncRNA (ENSMVIG00005001338.1)". The record is from RNAcentral. Lineage: Eukaryota; Metazoa; Chordata; Aves; Passeriformes; Pipridae.